Molecule: ribosomal RNA, 741 nt
Filed under: Rothia mucilaginosa
Lineage: Bacteria; Bacillati; Actinomycetota; Actinomycetes; Micrococcales; Micrococcaceae
Description: bacterial SSU rRNA
Rfam family: Bacterial small subunit ribosomal RNA
Source: RNAcentral
GACGAACGCUGGCGGCGUGCUUAACACAUGCAAGUCGAACGAUGAAGCCUAGCUUGCUAGGUGGAUUAGUGGCGAACGGGUGAGUAAUACGUGAGUAACCUACCUUUAACUCUGGGAUAAGCCUGGGAAACUGGGUCUAAUACCGGAUACGACCAAUCUCCGCAUGGGGUGUUGGUGGAAAGCGUUAUGUAGUGGUUAUAGAUGGGCUCACGGCCUAUCAGCUUGUUGGUGAGGUAACGGCUCACCAAGGCGACGACGGGUAGCCGGCCUGAGAGGGUGACCGGCCACACUGGGACUGAGACACGGCCCAGACUCCUACGGGAGGCAGCAGUGGGGAAUAUUGCACAAUGGGCGCAAGCCUGAUGCAGCGACGCCGCGUGAGGGAUGACGGCCUUCGGGUUGUAAACCUCUGUUAGCAGGGAAGAAGAGAAAUUGACGGUACCUGCAGAGAAAGCGCCGGCUAACUACGUGCCAGCAGCCGCGGUAAUACGUAGGGCGCGAGCGUUGUCCGGAAUUAUUGGGCGUAAAGAGCUUGUAGGCGGUUUGUCGCGUCUGCUGUGAAAGGCCGGGGCUUAACCCCGUGUAUUGCAGUGGGUACGGGCAGACUAGAGUGCAGUAGGGGAGACUGGAACUCCUGGUGUAGCGGUGGAAUGCGCAGAUAUCACGAAGAACACCGAUGGCGAAGGCAGGUCUCUGGGCUGUAACUGACGCUGAGAAGCGAAAGCAUGGGGAGCGAACAGG